GAUAGUGAGCGGCGACAGUACUCGUGCUGUACGGAUCUGAAUGGACCGUCGGUAUGGGUCACUGCUUGUUGCUUGUCGCACUUCCCGGCAGUGUGCGUCAACAGGUGUUAGGACUGGGUGAAAGGCCCCGCAAGAAGGUGGCUGGCUUCGGUCAGUGUUAUAGAUUGUGGUGUGCGAGCCCAGGUUUGACAGAGGCGUUGCGGCACAUGCUCUUUUGGGCUGGCCUCUCCCUCCUCAGUCGGUUGUCGAGCAUGACGGACUGCGUGCAGUGCGUUUGAACUGCCUCAGGCUGUCGGAGGGAAGAGUGCACACACUGUGCCAAGGUUGUUGGCGGUCAUAUGGUUUCAUGCGACCCGUCUUGAAACACGGACCAAGGAGUCUAACAUGUGUGCAAGUCUUUGGGUGAUUGAAACCCGCAGGCACAAUGAAAGUAAAGGCUGCUUGCAGCUGAAGUGGGAUCCCUUCGUCUCGGCGGAGGGCGCAUCAUUGACCGACCUAUUCUACUCUUAGAAAGGUUUGAGUAAGAGCACAUCUGUUGGGACCCGAAAGAUGGUGAACUAUGCUUGAGUAGGGCGAAGCCAGAGGAAACUCUGGUGGAGGCUCGUAGCGAUUCUGACGUGCAAAUCGAUCGUCAAACUUGGGUAUAGGGGCGAAAGACUAAUCGAACCAUCUAGUAGCUGGUUCCCUCCGAAGUUUCCCUUAGGAUAGCUGGAACUCGGAACAGUUUUAUCAGGUAAAGCGAAUGAUUAGAGGUCUUAGGGUUGAAACAACCUUAACCUAUUCUCAAACUUUAAAUUGGUAAGAAGCCCGACUUGCUUAAUUGAAGUAGGGCACAGAAUGAGAGUUCUUAGUGGGCCAUUUUUGGUAAGCAGAACUGGCGAUGCGGGAUGAACCGAACGCUGAGUUAAGGCGCCUAAAUCGACGCUCAUCAGACCCCACAAAAGGUGUUGGUUGAUCUAGACAGCAGGACGGUGGCCAUGGAAGUCGGAAUCCGCUAAGGAGUGUGUAACAACACACCUGCCGAAUCAACUAGCCCUGAAAAUGGAUGGCGCUCAAGCGUCGUGCCUAUACUCAGCCGUCAGAGUAAAGAGCGAAGCUCUGACGAGUAGGAGGGCGUGGAGGUUGUGACGCAGCCUUUGGCGUGAGCCUGGGUGAAACGGCCUCUAGUGAAGAUCUUGGUGGUAGUAGCAAAUAUUCAAAUGAGAACUUUGAAGGCCGAAGUGGAGAAAGGUUCCAUGUGAACAGCAGUUGGACAUGGGUUAGUCGAUCCUAAGAGAUAGGGAAACUCCGUUUCAAAGUGUCCAAUCUUGGAUCGUUUAUCGAAAGGGAAUCGGGUUAAUAUUCCCGAACCAGAACACGGAUAUUCUAUCCUCUCGGGGGUAGAUGUGCGGUAACGCAACUGAACUCGGAGACGUCGGCAGGAGCCCUGGGAAGAGUUCUCUUUUCUUGUUAACGGCCUGACACCAUGGAAUCUGAUUGCCAGGAGAUAUGGUCCGAUGGCCGGUAAAGCACCACACUUCUUGUGGUGUCCGGUGCGCUCUUGAAGGCCCUUGAAAAUCCGAGGGAAAGAUUGAUUUUCGUGUCUGUUCGUACUCAUAACCGCAGCAGGUCUCCAAGGUGAGCAGCCUCUG
Molecule: ribosomal RNA, 1631 nt
Filed under: Turritopsoides sp. MA206
Lineage: Eukaryota; Metazoa; Cnidaria; Hydrozoa; Anthoathecata; Oceaniidae
Also listed under: 2 other names
Description: eukaryotic LSU rRNA
Rfam family: Eukaryotic large subunit ribosomal RNA
Source: RNAcentral